Molecule: long non-coding RNA, 1049 nt
Organism: Canis lupus familiaris (dog)
Lineage: Eukaryota; Metazoa; Chordata; Mammalia; Carnivora; Canidae
Exons: 3
Source: RefSeq, a predicted model, not a curated record
GGUCAAGAAGAUGGCGGCCACCUGACUCACUUCCGCAGGCUGCCUGCACCCGAGGCUGGACUGGCCCGUAGCUCUUCCAAAGGCUCCCGCUGCCGCUGCCCCGGGGCCUCCAGACCCCAGCAGCCUUCGAGGGGCCCCUCUGCAUCGGCUGCUGCAGGGGUUUCUGCCUGAGCUGCUCCUGUGGCCACCGGGCAGCUUUCCAACCACGCGGGAGCCCUCUCGCAAACUGGGGACCGAAUGAAAACAAUAAAGCUUUUUGCAGCAAAAUAAUUUCAGGAGUAAAGAACUGGCUUUCCCUGGAUCACUGAAAAUUCUAAACUGUGCCCUCAUCUCCAACCCCCAGGACCAAAGUUUUGGAACUACAAAAGCUGCUCUCUCAAGUGAGUUAUUCAUCUGGAGGACUCUCAGACUGCCAUCAGAAACAACACAGAAAGAAGACAGUUCAGGCCCGCCACAGGAAGAGUUCAGCAACAAAAACCCUUUCACCUUCCAUCACACUAGCAGAUCUAAACCUGAAUAACAACGAAGAUGCUUUAGGUGGGAUGCCACACGGAACACCAGGAAACAUUUCCAGCCUGUGCAACAUUUUACUUCUCUCAUAACACAGAACAAAAAAAAAAAAAAAAAAAAAAGGGAAAUCUUUUUCCUAAUAAUGUGUAUUUGCUUAUAUUUUGUUGAACGUGUCGACUAAGCUAGCAUAUGCUUUGUUAAAUGAAUUUUAAUAUGGAACACCUUUGUCAGGCCCCCUGUGUUUUCUUCUCUGUCAUCAGUUUAGUAAUCUACCCUUGUUCCCAGUCAUCUCCAUCAACAGCCCUUCUAGCUCCGGAGCCUCACAGCAAGCCCUGAGUUGCUCUGCCUUGCCCCGACCUCUUAGACCAAAUCCUUCUGCUAAAGUGAAGUAUGGAGUUAGCUCUGUGCCCAGAUCAGUGGCUGGUACAUGAAGGCAUAUACAGUACAUGCUUGUGGAUAUAGAAAGAGAGCCAGUUAAUCUAGAAGUAAUUUUUGAAAGAAACAAGAGAUCCUUUGAAUUCCCGGUAAAAAAAAAAAAA